UACGUAGGGAGCAAGCGUUGUUCGGAUUUACUGGGCGUAAAGGGCGCGUAGGCGGCAUAUUAAGUCAUCUGUGAAAUCUCCGAGCUUAACUCGGAACUGUCAGCUGAUACUGAUGUGCUAGAGUGCGGAAGGGGCAAUCGGAAUUCUUGGUGUAGCGGUGAAAUGCGUAGAUAUCAAGGGGAACACCUGAGGUGAAGACGGGUUGCUGGGCCGACACUGACGCUGAGUGCGCGAAAGCCAGGGGAGCAAACGGG
This 254-nucleotide ribosomal RNA is filed under the name uncultured bacterium. RNAcentral describes it as "partial 16S ribosomal RNA". It matches the Rfam family "Bacterial small subunit ribosomal RNA", at positions 524 to 776 of the family's 1533-position model. The record is from RNAcentral.